AUGUGCGUCGGGGUCAGAGCGCGCAUUGUUUACACCGCGGAGCAGCUGAUCGCGCUGCGCAGCGCCGUAGUUCUGCCCAGAGACGGACACGGGAUCACCGCUGAGGUGCUGGUGAAGUCCCGACGUGGGCGCCGCGCUGGAGAACUGCGACGGGAGAAAACGAGACGCUUCAGGCCCGCUGUCCCCUCCGUCAUCAUGGGGAACGUGAGAUCUCUCGCCAACAAGAUCGACGAGCUCGCGGCGCUCACACGGUACCAGCCGGAGUACAGAACGAGCAGCGUCCUGCUGUUCACGGAGACCUGGCUGACGUCACUCAUCCCGGACUCGACUGUCGCACUGGACAAUUUUCAUCUGCUACGUGCGGACAGAACGGAGAACAGCGGUAAGAGGAAGGGAGGGGGUCUGGCUGUGUUUGUGAACAUCAGGUGGUGUAUGCCACGACAUUGCACUGUCAAAAUGAAGCUGUGUAACAGAGACAUUGAGCUGUUGGCAGUGGGCAUGAGGCCAUUCUACCUGCCAAGGGAGUUCACACACGUUAUAAUAAUUGCUGUGUGCGUCCCACCCUCCGCUAACGCUGACACAGCUUCUGAGACCCUGCUCUCAGUCACCAGCAGGCUGCAAACACAGCACCCACAGGCCCUCUUCCUGAUCUCUGGGGACUUUAACCAUGCACCUCCUUCAGCUGCUCUGUCUACAUACACCCAGUAUGUGACCUGCCCCACCAGAGACAAUAAAACACUGGACUUAUUCUAUGCCUGUUGUACACAGGUGGUGCCCCGCACAGUGAAGAGGUGGACAGCUGAGAGCGAGGAGGCUCUCAGGGACUGUUUUAACACCCCUGUGUGGACGGAGCUCUGCGACCCACAUGGGGAGGACAUUAACGCAAUAACAGACUGUGUAACGGACUACAUAAACUUCUGCUGUGAAAACACUGUUCCCACCAGGCGGGUUCGGUGUUUCACCAACAGCAAACCAUGGGUCACCCCUGAUAUUAAAGCUCUGCUAAAGGAGAAGAAGAGAGCAUUUAAAUCAGGGGACAGGGAGGAGCUGAGGAGGGUGCAGAAGGAGCUGAGGAGGAAAAUCCGUGAGGGGAAUUCCAGCUACAGGAGGAAGAUGGAGGAGCAGCUGCAGCAGAACAAUGUGAGUGAGGUGUGGAGGAGCCUGAAAACCAUCUCAGGCUUCAAAGCUCCACACCCACAGGCUGAGGGGGACCUGAGCUGGGUCAACGAGCUGAACUCACACUUUAAUAGGUUUGACCAAGCACCCACUCACACCUCCCAGCAGCUGCCUCCGAACCUCUUGUCACCUCAUACCACUGGAUUACCAGCCCCCACAGCCCUUCACACCUUUACACAAAGCCCUCUACCCUCAGCCCUGACGACUGGUGACUCAUCCCAACCACACCCCCUCACUUCACACCACACUGAGUCACUUCCUCAACCCCACACUUCACACCACACUAAGACACUCCCUCCACCCCUAUCCUUCUCCAGCACCCAGGUGAGAAGUGAGCUCAGGAAGAUCAAGGCCAGGAAAGCAGCUGGACCAGACGGCAUCAGCUCCAGACUCCUUAAGUCCUGUGCAGGCGAACUGUGUGGAGUUAUGGAGCAUGUCUUCAACCUGAGCCUCAAGCUGAGGGUGGUACCACAGCUCUGGAAGACCUCCUGCGUGGUACCAGUGCCCAAGACACCGCACGCCAAAGACCCCAGCAGCUUCAGACCAGUGGCUCUGACAUCACACCUGAUGAAGACACUGGAGAGACUGGUCCUGGGUAACCUCCGCUCUGCAGUGGGAACCUACCUGGACCCGCUGCAGUUCGCCUACCGACACGGCAUAGGAGUAGACGACGCCGUCAUCUUCCUCCUACAUCGAGCCCUUUUUCCACCUAGAGAAGCCCGGCAGCACUGUGAGGAUCAUGUUCUUUGA
This 1926-nucleotide long non-coding RNA is filed under the name Betta splendens (Siamese fighting fish). RNAcentral's name for it is "lncRNA (ENSBSLG00000011031.1)". Lineage: Eukaryota; Metazoa; Chordata; Actinopteri; Anabantiformes; Osphronemidae. The record is from RNAcentral.